GUGAGUCAUCGAAUCUUUGAACGCACAUUGCGCCCUUUGGCAUUCCGAAGGGCAUGCCUGUUCGAGCGUCAUGAUCAAAUCUCAAGCUUUGCUUGGUAUUGGGUUUUCGUCUGACAUGUUUUUUGUACCAUGUAGUGACGUGCCUGAAAAUCAGUUGCGGUAUCUCAAUAGACUCAAGCGUAGCAGACUGACUCGCUUUGGAGAACUGUUGCAGGUUCCGUUUAAAAUAACAAGUUGGACCUCGGAUCAGGUAGGGAUACCCGCUGAACUUAAGCAUAUCAAUAAGCGGAGGA
Molecule: unclassified non-coding RNA, 293 nt
Filed under: Geoglossum sp.
Lineage: Eukaryota; Fungi; Ascomycota; Geoglossomycetes; Geoglossales; Geoglossaceae
Description: partial contains 5.8S ribosomal RNA, internal transcribed spacer 2, and large subunit ribosomal RNA
Rfam family: 5.8S ribosomal RNA (bases 1-71)
Source: RNAcentral